RNAcentral lists this ribosomal RNA (905 nucleotides) under uncultured Pseudomonas sp. RNAcentral describes it as "bacterial SSU rRNA". It matches the Rfam family "Bacterial small subunit ribosomal RNA". The record is from RNAcentral. Lineage: Bacteria; Pseudomonadati; Pseudomonadota; Gammaproteobacteria; Pseudomonadales; Pseudomonadaceae.
AUUGAACGCUGGCGGCAGGCCUAACACAUGCAAGUCGAGCGGUAGAGAGAAGCUUGCUUCUCUUGAGAGCGGCGGACGGGUGAGUAAUGCCUAGGAAUCUGCCUGGUAGUGGGGGAUAACGUUCGGAAACGGACGCUAAUACCGCAUACGUCCUACGGGAGAAAGCAGGGGACCUUCGGGCCUUGCGCUAUCAGAUGAGCCUAGGUCGGAUUAGCUAGUUGGUGAGGUAAUGGCUCACCAAGGCGGCGAUCCGUAACUGGUCUGAGAGGAUGAUCAGUCACACUGGAACUGAGACACGGUCCAGACUCCUACGGGAGGCAGCAGUGGGGAAUAUUGGACAAUGGGCGAAAGCCUGAUCCAGCCAUGCCGCGUGUGUGAAGAAGGUCUUCGGAUUGUAAAGCACUUUAAGUUGGGAGGAAGGGCAGUUACCUAAUACGUGAUUGUUUUGACGUUACCGACAGAAUAAGCACCGGCUAACUCUGUGCCAGCAGCCGCGGUAAUACAGAGGGUGCAAGCGUUAAUCGGAAUUACUGGGCGUAAAGCGCGCGUAGGUGGUUAGUUAAGUUGGAUGUGAAAUCCCCGGGCUCAACCUGGGAACUGCAUUCAAAACUGACUGACUAGAGUAUGGUAGAGGGUGGUGGAAUUUCCUGUGUAGCGGUGAAAUGCGUAGAUAUAGGAAGGAACACCACUGGCGAAGGCGACCACCUGCACUGAUACUGACACUGAGGUGCUAAAGCAUGGGGAGCAAACAAGAUGAGAAACCACGGUAGUCAACGACGAAUAAUUCUCGGUGGGCAGCCCGCGCGAUCCAUUCACUCUUUUCGAGCGGCCGCGCGGCGUUUUUCAUAUAAAUAUAACUAGAGUGAGAUGUCAUACGCUCACUGACGCGCUUUUAAUAAAAGGUU